CAUCUAGUGGUAGACAAUUUUUUGAAGAACAUUUCUUUUAAACGGCAGAUAUCAACCAUUAAAAAUUAAUAAUUUUGAAUCCUUUCGAUUGCUAGAUAAAUAAUAUCGAAAAUCGUAAAAAUUAUUUUUUAGAAACUUCAAAUACGUUAGAUCAAGUCUAACGGGACCGAUUUUUGAUUCGAAAAUUUCAUCAUCGAAAACAGCUCUAAAAGUACAGCAGUCCUGCUAUAUAUAUAUAUAUAUAUAUAUAUAUAUA
This 256-nucleotide long non-coding RNA is filed under the name Ananas comosus (pineapple). RNAcentral's name for it is "long non-coding RNA (ACOM_LNC004077)". Lineage: Eukaryota; Viridiplantae; Streptophyta; Magnoliopsida; Poales; Bromeliaceae. The record is from RNAcentral.